This 224-nucleotide long non-coding RNA is filed under the name Setaria italica (foxtail millet). RNAcentral's name for it is "long non-coding RNA (SITA_LNC006682)". Lineage: Eukaryota; Viridiplantae; Streptophyta; Magnoliopsida; Poales; Poaceae. The record is from RNAcentral.
GUCAAGCCACUGCGACUAUUUUGUGAACCUACCCUACGGCUGAGGAGGUCUUCAAAAUAAUAUUUAUGCUCCUUUCGAGUACUAAUUGUAACUCAAAAUUGACUUGUUGUGUCCCUAAUGCUUUGUCUUAUGUAGGAAAUCGUCUGAUAUGGACCUUGGAGGGACUGGCGAAAAAUCAAGUACUAAUAGCCUUGGCAGCAAAAGAUCUUGCCCCGAUGCUGCCA